Molecule: ribosomal RNA, 737 nt
Filed under: uncultured archaeon
Lineage: Archaea
Description: bacterial SSU rRNA
Rfam family: Archaeal small subunit ribosomal RNA
Source: RNAcentral
GGUUAUCGCUAUCCGGGUUCGACUUAGACAUGCGAGCCGCGAGGGGUUAAGCCCUCGGCGAACUGCUCCGUAAUACACAGUCAACCUGCCCUAUGCUGGGGAAUAAUCUCGCGAAAGUGAGGCUAAUGCCCCAUAGAUAUUCGAGGCUGGAAUGCGCGGAUAUUAAAAGCUCCGGUGGCAUAGGAUGGGACUGCGGCUCAUCAGGCUGUUGAUGGUGUAACGCACCGUCAAACCGAUAACGAGUACGGGCUAUGGAAGUAGGAGCCUGGAGAUGGAUUCUGAGACAUGAAUCCAGGUACUACGGUACGCAGCAGUUACGAAAACUUUACAAUGCGCUCACGCGCGAUAAGGGAACCUGGAGUGCUCUUGUUUUACAAGAGCUUUUACUCACUGAAAACAGGCGAGUGAAUAAGGGGUGGGCAAAACGGGUGCCAGCCGCCGCGGUAAUACCCGUGCCCCAAGUGAUAGCCACCAUUAUUGGGCCUAAAGCGUCCGUAGCCGGUUUGGCAAGUCUCUUGUGAAAUUCUGCAGCAAACUGUAGAACAUGCUGGAGAUACUGCUAGACUUGAGACCGGGAGAGGUAAGAGGUACUCGCGGGGUAGGGGUAAAAUCCUGUAAUCCUGCGGGGACGACCUGUGGCGAAGGCGUCUUACCAGAACGGGUCUGACGGUGAGGGACGAAAGCUAGGGGAGCGAUCGGGAUUAGAUAUGAGAAGAGAGGUUGUGCUCAUGACAGUG